AGAUUGAACGCUGGCGGCAUGCCUUACACAUGCAAGUCGAACGGCAGCACGGGGGCAACCCUGGUGGCGAGUGGCGAACGGGUGAGUAAUGCAUCGGAACGUGCCCAGUAGUGGGGGAUAACUAGUCGAAAGAUUAGCUAAUACCGCAUACGACCUAUGGGUGAAAGGCGGGGGAUUCGCAAGAACCUCGCGCUAUCGGAGCGGCCGAUGUCUGAUUAGCUAGUUGGACGGGGUAAAGCCCACAAGGCUUACGAUCAGUAGCUGGUCUGAGAGGACGACCAGCCACACUGGGACUGAGACACGGCCCAGACUCGUACGGGAGCAGCAGGUGGGUAAUUUGGACAGUGGGCGUACAAGUCCUGAC
This 364-nucleotide ribosomal RNA is filed under the name uncultured soil bacterium. Its description in RNAcentral is "bacterial SSU rRNA". It matches the Rfam family "Bacterial small subunit ribosomal RNA", at positions 26 to 387 of the family's 1533-position model. The record is from RNAcentral.